AUGAAGUAGGAACUUAUUGGUAUAUCAAUGAAACGUUUUGGAGUCAUUAAUAGCGCAUGGAUCUUGUUUGAGUAACCGGAUACCUUCUGACAUUCAUUAGUGCAAUAAAUAUGUAAGAUUUGGAAAACAAGUAAGUAUUGGAAUGUCUUGACAUCUUGUAGGGUGGAAACAAGUUCAUUGGUAACUUAGGACAUCAUACAAAAUCAUUAUGGAUCACAUGUUACUGAAUAACUUUGGAAACUUUCUUAAUAGAACAAUUGUUCACUUUCAUGCCAAAGAUAUGGUAUAGAGUAUGCUUUACAUACCUGACUGUCAACCUUCAAUACUAGUCCCAAAUGGACUUCCCGACUUUUUGGAUUACUUAUCUCCAAUGAAC
Molecule: long non-coding RNA, 376 nt
Filed under: Capsicum annuum
Lineage: Eukaryota; Viridiplantae; Streptophyta; Magnoliopsida; Solanales; Solanaceae
Description: long non-coding RNA (CANN_LNC016041)
Source: RNAcentral